Molecule: non-coding RNA, 599 nt
Organism: Camellia sinensis
Lineage: Eukaryota; Viridiplantae; Streptophyta; Magnoliopsida; Ericales; Theaceae
Source: RefSeq, a predicted model, not a curated record
AUAAGGGCACAAGAUCUACCAUUGACUGACUUUGUGGACCAAAAGAUAGUUGUAGUUGGAGCUGGAAGUGCAGGGCUUGGUGUUUUUAACAUGGUUGCACAAGGCUGUUUCAAGAAUGGCAGGAGCUGGAGCAAAUCCUCUGUCUUUCCUACUUGAUAAAGAUGUGUGGUUCUACAGGGUCUCAUUACAACAGAACGGAAGGGUGUUGAUCCAGCAGCUGCACCAUUUGCUAAAACCCCUUGGGAGAUCGAGGGUUUGGGACUUAGGGAGGGAGCAAAUCUCGUUAAAGUGGUAAAUCUUACUGGAGUGUUUUUUGACAGCCUAUGUUGAUGCAAGGCUGAUAUAGAUUGAUAUUGUGUGGAAAAGAAACCUUCGGUUAUUUAGCUUGCUUCUUGGGUUAAAAAAGUCAAGCCUCAUAUACUUCUUGGUUUGUUUGGAAUUGGUGGUGUCUUCAAUGAGCAGGUGGACAAGUUUGCUUUGUCCUUCAUUACUUUCAAAUGACGCAUAAUGAAUCAGUGAAGUUGGCUUAGUUUUAUUUGGAAAGGCAUGUUGUUCUGUACUAUUUAUUUGGUUAGAUGUUGAUAAAUGGUAUUAGUUGG